Oncorhynchus mykiss (rainbow trout) is the source of this 6220-nucleotide non-coding RNA. NCBI's taxonomy places the organism in Eukaryota, Metazoa, Chordata, Actinopteri, Salmoniformes, Salmonidae. The record is from RefSeq and is a predicted model, not a curated record.
AAAGAGUGCGGCCAUUUUUCUAAAACACAAACAAGAAGAGAAAGCGAGUUGUGAAAAUAUUCGCAGCGAAUGUUGGUCAGAGGAAAGUAUAGCUAAUUAAUCAAACGUUCAACAAAUAGUUGAAAGGAAGUAACAUUAAGAUAUACAGAUCGUUGCGAAAUACACGUAUAUGUUAACUGGAUUUAACUAGCUACAUUUCAAUUUCGUAAAAUUUGCAGCUACCAGCUAGCUAGGUUGUAGCUGGCUAGCUGGCUACUUGGCUGGCUAGCUAGUGCGACCAGCUUUCAACGAAAGGUGUUUGGAGGAAAGGGAGGGUUAAUAGACCCUGAGGAAAUAAUCAAGCAGUAGGACAGUGAGAAGUGGAAGGAAUAAUACAUGCCGGUGAAGAUGACACUUGCCUCUCCCUGUGCAGCCGCUGUUCUUCACAAUAUUGCUUCAUAGUCAUUAUUAUGAUCAACUUCAAUGUUGAUGUAAUUACUGGUGCUGUUUGUCCAUGAACAUUUAGUUUUCGUUUAUUUUUGAUAGCUGUCACGUUUGGCCGCCUCCGUCACCUCACCCAACUCCUUUCCCUGAGCCUGGCAGCUAUUUGCUCAGCAUAUCAGAUUUGUGUGGUCUGAACAAUCCCACUGCACACUGAAGAACCAAGUAGCCUUUAACUCCCUCAUCGAAUCUGGACGAAACUGGUCCAGUCCUCUGGACAAGAAGCCUUGAGCUCCAUUUGAAGAGAGGAGUAUGACUGCUGAAACACUUAACUUCGGCCCAGAAUGGCUCCGUGCACUAUCCAGAGGGGGGAGUGUGACGUCCCCCCCUCCUUCUCCAGCCAUGCCAAAGUCCAAGCUGGCUGAUUAUCGCUAUGGCCGCGAGGAGAUGCUAGCACUUUAUAUAAAAGAUAACAAGCCCCCAGAGGACAUGCAGGAUAAGGAGUUUGCUGCUAUCAUGCAGGAUGAGCCUGUGCAGCCUUUGGCCCUGGAGCCUCUAACUGAGGAGGAGCAGAGAAACUUCUCCAUGUCUGUGAACAGUGUGGCUGUGCUGAGGCUGAUGGGAAAGGGAGGCGGGGCUGCCCCUGUAGGCGUGUCUAGGGGCCGUGGAGGAUGCAUCAGAGGAGGGAGAGGGAGAGGUGAAGGUGCGUUCUACCAAAGAGUUCCUGGAGGUCCUGAUGAAGGAGAGGUGGGCUUCGGUCGUGGCCGGGAAAUGCUCCGCAGCCAAAGCUGGGAUGACCGAGCUGAGAGGCCAAGGUUUGAGAAGCCAAUCAGGUGUGCUGAAGUAGUGCGUCCAGGGUUCGAAGAGGCGGGGCCUCCGGGCAGGAAGGACUCCUGGCGUGCUGACAGCGACAACUGGCGUACCCUCCGAGAGGAGGAGGAAGAGGCGGCAGCAGCAGCAGGAGGAGAGCAGCCAGCUUGGAGAGUUGCAGGAUCCCGCCGAGAUGAUGGAGGUCCUCGUUCUGCAGGCUGGCGUGAUCGUGGCGGCCGGAGAAAGUUUGAGUUUGAAUUCCGUGACGGCGAGGGCCCCCGCAGGGAAUCCGACAGGGACGGCCUUCCUGAGUGGUGCACCGACGAGGAGGAUGGAGAGAUGGGAACCUUUGACUCCUCUGGGGCCUUCAUGUGCAUCAAGCAGAAAGACUGUAAGGACACCAUCACUGAAGAGGAUCUGGAGUUUGAAGCUCUGGAGGAAGAGGAGGAGAAUGAUCAGGGAGGCAAGGACAACAACGCUGACAGAGAAGACCUAUUGUCCCUCUACUCCUUUCAUCUAGAUGAAUGUGAAGCAGCAGGUGAAGGAGAAGAUAAGUACAAGACUCCUUCUCCUCCUGCCAUCUCUGGCUCUCCACCCUCAGACCCUCUUCCUGCCCCCUGCGCCACACAGGCACCUAUCUCCCAUCCCACCAAAACAAACUAUGUGCCCGCUGAAGGCUGCCCACUUCCAGGGAGUGGUGCCCAGCUCAGCCCAGACCCCCCCUCCACCACCACUUCCAGCCUGAUGCCUCCUCCCUCCGGAUCUCUCCUCCCCUCAACAGGGGGAGAAGCAGAGGAGGACGAGGGCAUGAAGCACCUGCAACAGGAGGCUGAAAAGAUGGUGGCCUCACUGCAGGACACGUCCCUUGAGGAGGAGUGUUUCACUCAAGCACUACAGGAGAGCCACACAAUCACCUCUCACUCUCACAUACACCCAGCCCCACACUCUCACACGCACGCCGCUGGACACACACACUCGACCCAUAGGGACUGUGCCCUGCCCCUCUCCCACGAGGCAGCCAUGAAGUGGUUCUACAAGGAUCCCCAGGGAGAGAUCCAAGGUCCUUUCUCCACGGUGGAGAUGUGUGAGUGGUUCCAGGCCGGCUACUUCACCAUGACCCUGCUGGUAAAGAGGGGUUGUGAUGAGGGCUUCCAACCCCUGGGUGACGUCAUCAAAAUGUGGGGCCGCGUGCCCUUCUCCCCCGGCCCAUCCCCCCCGCCCCUCCUGGGCAAUAUGGACCAGGAGCUGCUUAAGAAACAUUUGGAGCAGGCAGCCACUGCAGCUCUAUACCAGCAACUACAGAUGAGGUUCCAGCACAUGAACAGGUACGCGCACGCACCCACACACACACACACACACACAAUGUAUGUGAGUGUACUAAUGUGUGUAUUUGCAGGAGUGGAGAUUCUAGCAUGAUGCCCUUGAUGAACAGGUCCAUGUCAGUACCUGAUAAUGGGUCCAUGUGGGACAUGCAUACCUCGGCCUCCCAGCAGUCAGGUGGUGAGGCCAACCUAUGGGACUUAACCAUGAGUCAUUCCACUCAGGGGCCAUCUCUGGAGCAGCUACAGAAGCUCCAGGACCGGCGUGAGGCUGAACUCAGGGCCAAGCGAGAGGAGGAGGAGCGCAAGCGGCAGGUCGAGAAGAGGAGGCAGCAGGAGGAACAGAAGAGGCGUGAUGAGGAGGAGCUGUACAGGCGUAAGCAGCAGUGUCGGCAGCAGCAGGAGCUGAUCAUGAAGCUGCUGCAGCAGGCCCAGCCCGGGGCACCAGGGUGUGUCUCUGGAUCAGGGUGGAGCGGCUCCCAGGCCUCAGCCCUCUCCAAACAAGGCAAGAGCCUCGGCCUGCUGGAGCUGGAGACCGAAAGGCUGCUCAAACAGCAGGCCCAGCACCAGAGGGCCCAGCAUCAGAGAGACAGGCAUGGAGGCUUGUCGAUGGGCCAGUGGGGUGAGGGGUCUGUGGGCAUGUGGUCUGGUGGGGGCAUGGAGCCCAAAGGCAGCUCUGGAGGGAUGGGUGUCUGGGAGGAGGCUGUGAAGAACCAAAACAGCCUCCGCAAUAUGGGCAUGAAGAACAGCCGCAGCAGCCCAUCUCUCAGUGAGCAGUACAUGCUGAGGAAGAAGCGUACAGAGGAGGAGGACAAGCUGCUGAAACUGCUGCAGGGCAUGAAGCCCCAGGAUGGCUUCACCACCUGGUGUGAACAGAUGCUGCACGCACUCAACACCUCCGCUAACAACUCCUCCUCCUCACUGGACGUGGCAACCAUCGUGGCCUACCUGAAGGAGGUGGAGUCUCCCUACGAGGUCCAUGACUUUAUCCGCUCCUACCUGGGCGACACCAUGGAAGCCAAAGAGUUCGCCAAGCAGUUCCUGGAGCGCCGAGCCAAACAGAAAGCCAACCACCAGAGACAACAGCAGCAACAACAGCUAUCAAAGGAAGUUUCAGGGCUGUCCAACUUUCCUAUCCAGGUAGGCUCCGUCCAGUCCAUGUUCCAGGCAGCCCAGAUGGGAAAGGGAGGAAUGUAUGACAGUCAGGCUGCAAAGAUGAAGAAGAAACAGACCAUGAUGCUUCACUCUGACCCUAGCAUCUUAGGAUAUUCAUUCCUGGGUGCUGGGGACAGGAUGAACCUGGGUGAGAUGGAAACAGUGGAGGAUUAUUGAUCCACAGCAUCUACCUGAAUCCACCUGAGGCCUUACACCUGGAUUAAAACACACACUGACACAAACACUCACCCACACAGACAAUGACGAAUGUGCACUGCUGAGCUACUUUGCCCCCUCAUAGAUGAGGACCUGGAAAAGUAGUGUUUUUUUCUCUCAUCUCUGUGUGAGGGGAGGGGGGGGGGGGGGGUGCAGAGGAGUACCCUCCUGCACUUCUUACAGUUAAGCACCUUAAACUAAACUAAUGCACUUUAUCACAGGGUUUCAAUAUUUGAAAUGAAGUUUUGCCAGUUUGUUUUCUUGUUUUUAGGAUGCAAAAUGUGCAUAUUGUGUCUACAAUAUGAAUACACACAUGUGGAUGUGUGUGUGCAAACAUACCUAAGUAAGGAACUGGAGGUUACAUCUCCAAUAAUAAUGUCGGGUGAUGAGGACUUCUUUUGGAAAGUAUAUACUUUUUUUUUUCUUUAAGUUUUUAUAUAAAAUGUAAAGCUAUAACAAAUUGCAUUUUAUUAAGAAAAAAACUUGAAGGUUUGCACUUAGAUAAACAAAACUAGUUGUAGAUAAGUAUUGGAAGAAAACAUUUCUUUGAAUGCUGGUGGGUUUGUGUGGUAGACUUAAAGCCUGCACAAUUUUUAUUGCUUACAGAGAUGCAUAAAAAGGCCAUGUUUUUACGUUGUUCCAUGAAUUUUUUUUACUUUGAAGAAUGUAUGCAAUGUGUGCCCAUGUCAGAUGUAUGAGUGAUUGGUAGCCAAUGAAUGUGUAUGUUUUGUACAUGGAGUCUCUAAGCGAGAGUGGAGAGGGCUCUUUUCAACCAAUCUUUCACCAGCUCCUCAUCCCCUAAAUGACUUCAUUGAAGGUCUUUUGCUUUGGUGUCCAGUUACCCGUCUGGCCGUCUGUGUUUUGUCAUUGGUGCAUUGCUGCCCUCAUUCUCCAUGGUGAGUCACGACGGUCCAUGGGCUCUGAUUCGCUGAUACAACUGUGAAAACAGAUCUUAUGAUUCAAGGCAGAUUUCCGAGGUGUAUUUUACUGCAGUUAAGUCACUCUCUCUCGUUUAAAGAACCAUACAGUUCUGUUUAAUCGUUCUCUUCCUUGUGGUUAUGAGAGUUGGUAAGACCAGAGAAGUCCCUUGCAUUUUCCAAGGGGAUCUAUUGCCUUUAACGACAUGUCAGUGUUGAGGUCUUGCUUUCCUGCUUCCAGGCAGUUUUGCAGACGAUUGCCACUGCGUAUGUUAACCCUAGUAUCGAUAGCUAGAGUCCUGUCUUUGUGUUGCUUUUUGAAUAGAAUGUCAGUUUUUAAACAAAGUGAAAGUAUUUGGACUUGAUAUGGAGCACUUUUGAAGCUGCUACACUAUUGUAUUUUUAUAUUGUUGUUUUAGUUUUUUUUUUUUGCCUCUUAUGGUAAUUAUUUUUACUUAAAAAAAAAAAAAAAAUCUGGGUGUGGAAAUGAAUGUAUUCCAAAAAAACUGAAAUGUACAACAGUGCAUUGAGAUGAAGCCAGACUUUAAACAAAUAUUUUGGAGCUAAUGAGUAGAGUUUUGCUGAAGAAGUAUUAGAAUCCCAGAAGAUGAGCUACUGUAAAUGAAACCAAGAUGGACACGGCUGAACACUGCCUUCUCUUACUGCUCUCUGAGAAACACAUCCUAAUAAGAUGAAGACAUCUGUCCACCGCCAUGUUGUCGUCCUCGAUACAACACACACGAGGAACUAGCAUGGGAAAUGUAGCAGUCGUGUGUUUUUUUUUUUUUAAGAGAAAUUGGUCUCCUUUUUUUUUUUAUCUUUGAAUGUCUGGGUUGUUACUAUUCAUGAAUGAUCUCUUGCUUUUCCUCAUUGCCUAAAUCUUGUGACAAUUGAGUUUUUGAAGAUGUGGGCAGAGGAAUGAUCGGUACGUCAUCAGCAAACUGAAACGGUCUUCGCUUUAACCGGUCUGGAUUAUAUUUUUAAUGGAAAAAAAGCCCCCCCCCCACACACACACAAAAAAAAAAUUAUCAAGGGGAAUGGAUAUUAGUUUUGGGGGGCUGUGAUAAUGUAAUAUGUGGCUAUCAUUAGAUGCCAUGGGAUGGAGUGAGAUGGAGAGAACCUGAGAUGGGCAGAGAGGAGUCAAAAAUCGGACUCCUUUCGCUCUCCUUGUACCUCCAACAGAGACUUGUUCAUCAGGCCGGCCUCUUGCGUCCUUGCCCUAGCUGAUUUUCCCACCCUUUUACAAAAUGCUGUGCUACGUGUCUCAUGGGGUUUGGCAUGCUUGGACCAUGUGACUGGAGGCCUCCUGAUGUUAAAUGGACUUCUAACGAGAAUUAUUGAAUGUUCUAGAAAAUAAACUACUAAAAUGAGGAGAACAUUUUU